Molecule: transfer RNA, 72 nt
Filed under: Marmota monax (woodchuck)
Lineage: Eukaryota; Metazoa; Chordata; Mammalia; Rodentia; Sciuridae
Description: tRNA.Ala
Source: RNAcentral
GGGGUUGUGGCUCAGCAGUUAGAGCACUCACCUAGCAGGAGCAAGGCCCUGGGUUCAAUCCUCAGCACCACA